This 484-nucleotide ribosomal RNA is filed under the name uncultured bacterium. Its description in RNAcentral is "partial 16S ribosomal RNA". It matches the Rfam family "Bacterial small subunit ribosomal RNA", at positions 29 to 507 of the family's 1533-position model. The record is from RNAcentral.
AUUGAACGCUGGCGGCAUGCUUUAUACAUGCAAGUCGAACGGCAGCGCGGGCUUCGGCCUGGCGGCGAGUGGCGAACGGGUGAGUAAUACAUCGGAACGUGCCCAGUAGUGGGGGAUAGCUCGGCGAAAGCCGGAUUAAUACCGCAUACGACCUGAGGGUGAAAGCGGGGGAUCUUCGGACCUCGCGCUAUUGGAGCGGCCGAUGGCAGAUUAGCUAGUUGGUGGGGUAAAGGCCUACCAAGGCGACGAUCUGUAGCUGGUCUGAGAGGACGACCAGCCACACUGGGACUGAGACACGGCCCAGACUCCUACGGGAGGCAGCAGUGGGGAAUUUUGGGCAAUGGGCGGAAGCCUGAUCCAGCAAUGCCGCGUGUGUGAUGAAGGCCUUCGGGUUGUAAAGCACUUUUGGCGGGAACGAAAAGGACUGUGCCAAUACCACGGUUCGAUGACGGUACCCGCAGAAUAAGCACCGGCUAACUACGUG